RNAcentral lists this ribosomal RNA (253 nucleotides) under uncultured bacterium. RNAcentral's name for it is "partial 16S ribosomal RNA". It matches the Rfam family "Bacterial small subunit ribosomal RNA", at positions 524 to 776 of the family's 1533-position model. The record is from RNAcentral.
UACAGGGGGGGCAAGCGUUGUUCGGAAUUACUGGGCGUAAAGGGUUCGUAGGUGGCUUGCUAAGUCACACGUGAAAUCCCCGGGCUUAACCUGGGAACUGCAUUUGUGACUGGCGGGCUAGAGUAUGGCAGAGGGGGGUAGAAUUCCACGUGUAGCAGUGAAAUGCGUAGAGAUGUGGAGGAAUACCGAUGGCGAAGGCAGCCCCCUGGGCCAAUACUGACGCUCAUGCACGAAAGCGUGGGGAGCAAACAGG